RNAcentral lists this ribosomal RNA (370 nucleotides) under uncultured bacterium. Its description in RNAcentral is "bacterial SSU rRNA". It matches the Rfam family "Bacterial small subunit ribosomal RNA", at positions 525 to 896 of the family's 1533-position model. The record is from RNAcentral.
ACGGGGGUGGCAAGCGUUACUCGGAUUUAUUGGGUGUAAAGGACAGGUAGGCGUUCUGCCAAGUUAGAAGUGAAAUCCUAAGGCUUAACCUUAGAACUGCUUCUAAAACUGACGGAAUUGAGGCUAGAAGAGAAGAGCGGAAUUCCCGGUGUAAGGGUGAAAUCUGUAGAUAUCGGGAGGAACACCAGUGGCGAAAGCGGCUCUUUGGUCUAGAUCUGACGCUAAACUGUGAAAGCUAGGGGAGCAAACAGGAUUAGAUACCCUGGUAGUCCUAGCCGUAAACGAUGAGCACUAGGUGUUGGGGGGAUACCUUCAGCGCCGCAAGUUAACACGUUAAGUGCUCCACCUGGGGACUACGGCCGCAAGGUUA